GGAUAUGGCUCAGUGUUAGAGUGUUUGCCUAGUAUGCAUGAGGCCCUGGGUUGGAUCCCCACAACCA
This 67-nucleotide transfer RNA is filed under the name Marmota monax (woodchuck). RNAcentral's name for it is "tRNA.Thr". The record is from RNAcentral. Lineage: Eukaryota; Metazoa; Chordata; Mammalia; Rodentia; Sciuridae.